AGCGAAAUUCCUUGUGAAUUUCGUAGGCUUGUCGACGC
This 38-nucleotide small RNA is filed under the name Bombyx mori (domestic silkworm). Its description in RNAcentral is "ovarian small RNA-12103". Lineage: Eukaryota; Metazoa; Arthropoda; Insecta; Lepidoptera; Bombycidae. The record is from RNAcentral.